Long non-coding RNA from Neofelis nebulosa (Clouded leopard), 397 nucleotides. RefSeq lists it as uncharacterized. NCBI's taxonomy places the organism in Eukaryota, Metazoa, Chordata, Mammalia, Carnivora, Felidae. The transcript has 3 exons. The record is from RefSeq and is a predicted model, not a curated record.
GCCUCGGCCUCGGCCUGGAAGCGAUGUAGCCGCACCAGGCCCGAGCCCCGCGGGCCGCCGCUGCCGCUGCCCUUGAACCACAUGAAGCAGCUCGCCAAGCAGACCGUGGGCAGAGCUGAGAAAACAGAAGUCCUCAGUGAAGAUCUGUUACAGAAUUGUUCGCCGUGAAACUAACUCUCGCCAAUCCGCACCUGCUCGCUUCAGCUUGAGGCAGUCUGCUGUACGCUUCCAUCACGUCGACGGCUGACGCAGUUUCCCACCCAUUCGACAGGAGCCGUUCUUUCUAGAAUGUGCAGCGGAGAGAAAAGGCAAGGUACGAGGCACUGUUGCACAACUCCAAGGCACUCUUGGAGCACAUGAGAACUUGUCUCAGAUGACUCCUUUUUCAAAAGCCCGU